UACAGGGGGUGCAAACGUUGCUCGGAAUCAUUGGGCGUAAAGCCCACGUAGGCGGUUCGUUAUGUCGGAUGUGAAAGCCCUUGGCUUAACCGAGGAAGUGCAUCCGAAACUGGCGAGCUAGAGUACGAAAGAGGAUCGCGGAAUUCCCGGUGUAGAGGUGAAAUUCGUAGAUAUCGGGAGGAACACCGGUGGCGAAGGCGGCGAUCUGGGUCGAUACUGACGCUGAGGUGCGAAAGCGUGGGGAGCAAACAGG
Molecule: ribosomal RNA, 253 nt
Filed under: uncultured bacterium
Lineage: Bacteria
Description: partial 16S ribosomal RNA
Rfam family: Bacterial small subunit ribosomal RNA
Source: RNAcentral